UCCCGGUUAACCCGGGCAGUCUCGCUAGAGUUCCCGCCAUCACGCGUUGGCAACUAGCGAUAAGGGUUGCGCUCGUUGCGGGACUUAACCCAACACCUCACGGCACGAGCUGACGACAGCCAUGCAGCACCUGUACAGCGACCCUCGCGGGCGACGACAUCUCUGCCGUCUUCCACUGCAUGUCCAGUCUGGGUAAGGUUCUUCGCGUUGCAUCGAAUUAAACCACAUGCUCCACUGCUUGUGCGGGUCCCCGUCAAUUCUUUUGAGUUUCACCCUUGCGAGCGUACUUCCCAGGCGGUAUACUUAUCGCGUUGGCUACGACACAGCCGGGGUUGAGUCCGGCUACAUCAAGUAUACAUCGUUUACAGCAAGGACUAC
RNAcentral lists this unclassified non-coding RNA (378 nucleotides) under uncultured Chlamydiales bacterium. Its description in RNAcentral is "contains 16S-23S intergenic spacer region". Lineage: Bacteria; Pseudomonadati; Chlamydiota; Chlamydiia; Chlamydiales. The record is from RNAcentral.